AGCCAACAAGCUAGCCCCUCCCUAACAAAUCAAUAACCCAAUAUAUAUAACCCCUAACACCCCACCCACCCAAUAAACAAACCAUUUUUCCCCCCAAGUAUGGGCGACAGAAAAG
RNAcentral lists this ribosomal RNA (115 nucleotides) under Ruvettus pretiosus (oilfish). Its description in RNAcentral is "partial 16S ribosomal RNA". Lineage: Eukaryota; Metazoa; Chordata; Actinopteri; Scombriformes; Gempylidae. The record is from RNAcentral.